This 243-nucleotide ribosomal RNA is filed under the name uncultured Pseudomonadota bacterium. RNAcentral's name for it is "uncultured proteobacterium partial 16S ribosomal RNA". It matches the Rfam family "Bacterial small subunit ribosomal RNA", at positions 554 to 792 of the family's 1533-position model. Lineage: Bacteria; Pseudomonadati; Pseudomonadota. The record is from RNAcentral.
UUGGGUUUAAAGUGCGCGUAGGCGGUUGAUCAAGUCAGCGGUGAAAGCCCUGGGCUUAACCUGGGAAUGGCCGUUGAGACUGGUGAGCUAGAGUCGCAGAGAGGGGGGUGGAAUUCCCGGUGUAGCGGUGAAAAUGCGUAGAGAUCGGGAGGAACACCGGUGGCGAAGGCGGCCCCCUGGCUGCAGACUGACGCUGAGGCGCGAAAAGCGUGGGGAGCAAAACAGGAUUAGAUACCCCCCGUA